GAUGAAGAACGCAGCGAAAUGCGACAAGUAAUGUGAAUUGCAGAAUUCCGUGAAUCAUCGAAUCUUUGAACGCACAUUGCGCCCUCUGGUAUUCUGGAGGGCAUGCCUGUCCGAGCGUCAUUGCUGCCCUCAAGCACGGCUUGUGUGUUGGGCCUCCGUCCUCCUCCCGGGGGACGGGCCCGAAAGGCAGCGGCGGCACCGCGUCCGGUCCUCGAGCGUAUGGGGCUUCGUCACCCGCUCUUGUAGGCCCGGCCGGCGCUUGCCGACACAUCAAUCUUUUUUCCAGGUUGACCUCGGAUCAGGUAGGGAUACCCGCUGAACUUAAGCAUAUCAAUAAGCGGAGGA
RNAcentral lists this unclassified non-coding RNA (345 nucleotides) under soil metagenome. Its description in RNAcentral is "partial contains 5.8S ribosomal RNA, internal transcribed spacer 2, and large subunit ribosomal RNA". The stretch from base 1 to 120 matches the Rfam family "5.8S ribosomal RNA", at positions 35 to 154 of the family's 154-position model. The record is from RNAcentral.